Molecule: ribosomal RNA, 500 nt
Filed under: uncultured bacterium
Lineage: Bacteria
Description: partial 16S ribosomal RNA
Rfam family: Bacterial small subunit ribosomal RNA
Source: RNAcentral
AUUGAAAGCUGGCGGAAUGCUUUACACAUGCAAGUCGAACGGCAGCACGGACUUCGGUCUGGUGGCGAGUGGCGAACGGGUGAGUAAUGUAUCGGAACGUGCCCAGUCGUGGGGGAUAACGUAGUGAAAAUUACGCUAAUACCGCAUACGAUCUAUGGAUGAAAGCGGGGGAUCGCAAGACCUCGCGCGAUUGGAGCGGCCGAUAUCAGAUUAGGUAGUUGGUGGGGUAAAGGCCCACCAAGGCAACGAUCUGUAGCUGGUCUGAGAGGACGACCAGCCACAAUGGAACUGAGACACGGUCCAGACUCCUACGGGAGGCAGCAGUGGGGAAUUUUGGACAAUGGGAGAAAGCCUGAUCCAGCCAUUCCGCGUGCAGGAUGAAGGCCCUCGGGUUGUAAACUGCUUUUGUACAGAACGAAAAGGUUUCUACUAAUACUAGGAGCUCAUGACGGUACUGUAAGAAUAAGCACCGGCUAACUACGUGCCAGCCGCCGCCGUAA